GGACUACAGGGGUAUCUAAUCCCAUUCGCUACCCACGCUUUCGUGUUUCAGUGUCAGGAAUGCGCCAGUGAAUUGCCUUCGCAUUUGGUGUUCCCCAUGAUAUCAACGGAUUUCACCCCUACACCAUGAGUUCCAUUCACCUCUCACAUCCUCUAGUUUUGCCGUUUCUUCUGCGGACCCCCGGUUGAGCCGAAGAAUUUGACAGAAGACUAACAAAACAACCUACACACCCUUUACGCCCAAUGAUUCCGGAUAACGCUUGGGGCACUCGUAUUACCGCGGCUGCUGGCAC
Molecule: ribosomal RNA, 292 nt
Filed under: uncultured bacterium
Lineage: Bacteria
Description: partial 16S ribosomal RNA
Source: RNAcentral